AAGAUGGCUCGAUAAAUGGCCUUGGAAAACUAAUUUACAAGUUCGGUAGUCGAGCUCCUGACGUUAAACGAAGUGCUAAGUGGAAGGCAAUCCACGACCUUUAAUCUUUUUCUUUUCUUUUUAGUUGUUUUAAUUUUUAUUAUUUUCAUCGGAGGAGAAGUGACUUCUCUCCGAGUGGAUCUCCUAGGAUUUAUGGAUGCCGUUAACGAAUAGUUCAAUCAUGUAUUCCAGCAAAUUCAUUCUUUGGAGCAUUCUCGUGCACCAAAGUGAUAGCUAGUAUUAAC
RNAcentral lists this long non-coding RNA (284 nucleotides) under Lathyrus oleraceus (garden pea). RNAcentral describes it as "Pisum sativum (pea) long non-coding RNA (PSAT_LNC041978)". Lineage: Eukaryota; Viridiplantae; Streptophyta; Magnoliopsida; Fabales; Fabaceae. The record is from RNAcentral.